CGCGCGUUCUUCGAGGCGGAUGCGGCCUGGGCGCGAGCGGAGAUAUGUGGACCUAGGGGUACAGGCCACCCGGAGUGUCCUGCACAAAGAAUGCGAUUAAGGAGAAUAACGCUUAGGAAAUCGCAGGAAGAUACGCCUCGAGAGCCGGAUCGGCUCCGGAUUCAAUGCGCCCGCAUUUAUUGGAGCCACCCGCAUCGGAACGACCGGGGGGCCGCAGUUUGGCUAUAAACAUAGGUGCAGGUGCGAUGGAGCCUGCCAAGCCGGAGCUGUUCAGGUUGCCAUGGAUCGUGGGCCGCUUCCGAGGGGCAGAGGCACUUUAAGAGGGAGGCGGUGAACGAGGUCCGAUACAGCCUCCCUUCAUAGAGUACGUAGUGGGCGGACUUCAUAACAAGUCGCCGAGCUUGAUCUUCGUCUUCAGGGAGGAUCCCUUCGGCGAGGUAGGCGACAAGCGGGUCCAUCCAAGACGGCUCCGGAUCAAUCGCCAUCACCGCUCCAGCCUCGCCGAUGCUCGGGGCAUCCAGGGUCUCCAGGUAGAUCGCCCUCGACAAGUUGUGCGCGUCUGCGCCCACUAAGCGGGACAACCUGUCGGCCCUGGCAUUUUCACUUCUUGGGACCUGCUGGAUGUCGACACUGCCGAGGUCGGAAUGAGUGCUU
RNAcentral lists this long non-coding RNA (654 nucleotides) under Phoenix dactylifera (date palm). Its description in RNAcentral is "long non-coding RNA (PDAC_LNC018079)". Lineage: Eukaryota; Viridiplantae; Streptophyta; Magnoliopsida; Arecales; Arecaceae. The record is from RNAcentral.